RNAcentral lists this unclassified non-coding RNA (682 nucleotides) under Yarrowia lipolytica. Lineage: Eukaryota; Fungi; Ascomycota; Dipodascomycetes; Dipodascales. The record is from RNAcentral.
AUGAAUUGACACGAUACAUGAAUUGACACGAUACAUGAAUUGACACGAUACAUGAAUAUUGACACCCACUUUGAAUGGUUCCUAACAGUUCUAAUACAGAUACGCCGAAAAACGCCUGUUUACUUGUCGCUCACUCGCCGCUCACUCGCCGCUCACUCGCCGAUCGGACCUAUAAAUACAUCCACGGCCCAUGCCAAGCCUGUAGUAUGUACCUGUGAAAUUUCAGGCAUCAUCGUCAAGCAGGUUUAUGUGGGUCCGUGAUGAAAAGGCCAUCAGUUAAUCCAUGUAUGUUGUUCAUAGAGCACUGGAUAUCUGUUUGCAACGGUCUCUCAAUAUGGCUCACAACUCCACUGAGCUUCACAUCGAUGGAAACUGCAUUAUUCUAGUACAGUAUGUACAUACAGGUAGGAGUAGGAGUAGGAGUAGGAGUAGGAGUAGGAGUAGGAGUAGGAGUAGGAGUAGGAAUAGGAAUAGGAGAGCUCCUACUCGCUCAAUCUCAUACACCACUCCCUUUCACUUGCCACAUCGUAUAAGCCGAUCCUUGCACCACAAGUGUGUGUAUUCUCCAACUGUCUCAUAAAGAUACGAUGUUGGUGCAUGUCCACAAUAUCGCAAAGAUGAGACAGACGGACAUGAUGAGAAACGGUAUUUGUAUCGAAAUGAUAGGUUUGAACGGAUUUAC